CUUGCUAAGUCUUCUGGCCUCUUUCUUUCUCCCGUGCUGGAUGCUUCCUGCCAACGAACAUCAGACUCCAAGUUCUUCAGCUUUUGGACUCUUUGGACUUGCACUAGUGAUUUGCCAGGGGCUCUCAGGCCUUUGGCCACAGAUAAAGGCUGCACUAUCAGCUUCCUUACUUUUGAAGUUUUGGGACUUGGAUGGGCUUCCUGGCUCCCCAGCUGGCAGAUGGCCUACUGUGGGACUUCACCUUGUGAUUAGAAGCUAUGAAACUUGGUUGCUGGAUCGUUACACUGAGGCUAAUAAUGAAAGGAAGGCGGAAUAAAGGGCCUUGGUUAGCUACAGGAUCCUAUCGGACAGGAAGGAUUGCUGUUUGGCAGAGGGUGGGCAUUUCUGAAGAUCUUCAGGACACUCCUGUUGAUGAUGACUUCCAGUUAGAAGAACAGCAGCCAAGAUGCCUCCUGACUGCAGAGCUGGCUGGAAUAGAUCUGGCUGCUAUAGAAGCCCUUCCUUUUUCAUUCAGUCCUCACAGCAAACCUCUGAUUUACAGGCAAAAAAAAAGGCUGAGAAAGGUUCAUGGAUUCUUCAACUGCUGAGCAGCUGCCAUACCCUGGACACGACUCUGGGUGCUGGGAAUACACACAGGCUCCACAUAGGUUGUACAGAUGGUCCUUGAGGCAACCGCAGAGGGCGUCAUUCACGUUGCAGGUGUGUCAACAAUAAUCACAGUGGUAAUUUGUUGGUGUGGGGUAGAAAAGAGUCUUAACAGGAGGGAGGCACUUCCCCUGCAUAUCUCCUUAUCAACCUCCCUCUUUCUUUCUAAUGCGCAAAGACACUUAGGAUGAUAUGAAGUGAGUUUAUGCAUUUUUUCUCUCCCCUUAGCACUGUGAAGGCACAGGGAGGAUAUCAUAUAGGGCAUUGUCCAUUUUCUUCUUUUUACUGCUGACAAUACCAGCUUUUCAUUUGGUGUCUGGAAGCCUCCUGAAAUUACAUGGGAAAUUUUGUUCAUAGACUUUUUUUUUUUUUUCCCCUGGGGUUAGGGUCUAUUGCUUUCAACAGACUCUUGGAGUUACCUUUCCCCAAAUAAAGAAUUUCUUACUUUCAGGAUUCCCUCAAGUAUAAAAGGGGUGGUGAAGGCAAUGUUUCCAUCUCAAAACAGAAAGGAUAUUCUUUACUUGAACUAUUUGGAGAGUCAUUUAGGAGGAUGGCUGAGUGUAACCAGCAAGCUAUGUUCAUUUGGUCCUUCUUGAAUUUCUUUUCAUCACUUCCUCUCACUCUACCCACUGGUGGUCUGUUGGAGGCUCAUAGCAAUACCCUUCCCAUUGAACCUUCUCUGAGAAUACUCUGAAUUCAGUGAGAUUUUCCCUUCUUCUCCACUAAAGAUGCAUCUUUGGGUCCCAUUCUGCUGCUCUACAGUUGACAGUCAGUCUGCAUGGUGAUUUAGUGGUUAUUUGUGUUAGCCAUUCUAGACAACAAGCUUCUUUUUAUUAAUAAUAAUAUAAACAGAUGACAUUUGGAAAGUACUCUCACCUGAGAGGUAGAUUGGCACCUUAAACCUAAAGAAGGAUGCCAAGUGGGAGAAUCAAGUUGAGAGAGAGAAGAUAUUGGGCAGAUAGGACAAGAAGUACUUCUCAACUCAUGGACACAAAAAGGAAAACAAUAGUCACUGGGACCUACCAGGAUAUGGAGGGUAGGAGCAGGGAGAGGAUCAGGAAAAAUAAAGAAUGGGCACUAGGCUUAUUACCUGGGUGAUGAAAUAAUCCAUACAACAAACCCCAUGACAUGAGUUUACCUAUAUAACCUGCACAUAUACCCUUGAACUUAAUUUGUUUUCUAAAAGGAAAAUAAAGUUUGCAUUUUUGCUUAUGGAAGUAACAACCC
Molecule: long non-coding RNA, 1872 nt
Filed under: Homo sapiens (human)
Lineage: Eukaryota; Metazoa; Chordata; Mammalia; Primates; Hominidae
Description: HSALNT0263957
Source: RNAcentral